UACGGAGGGGGCAAGCGUUAUUCGGAAUUAUUGGGCGUAAAGGGCGCGUAGGCGGCCUGGCAAGUGGAAGGUGAAAUCCCUCGGCUUAACCGAGGAACUGCCCUCCAAACUGCUUGGCUUGAGUCCGGGAGAGGUGAGUGGAAUUCCCAGUGUAGCGGUGAAAUGCGUAGAUAUUGGGAGGAACACCAGUGGCGAAGGCGGCUCACUGGACCGGAACUGACGCUGAGGCGCGAAAGCGUGGGGAGCAAACGGG
This 253-nucleotide ribosomal RNA is filed under the name uncultured bacterium. RNAcentral's name for it is "partial 16S ribosomal RNA". It matches the Rfam family "Bacterial small subunit ribosomal RNA", at positions 524 to 776 of the family's 1533-position model. The record is from RNAcentral.